GGGUUACUCCCUGGCGCUCUCGCGCUGUUUUGAUGAAGAUUCGCACCUCUAUCAAAACGGGUAACCCCACCCUUUGGCAAGGCCCUGCUGUCAGAUCAAGUCUGAACUUCUACAGGUAAAGCACCGAAGUGACACACAACGAUGGCACCGUCCGCGGCCCGUCGUGCUCCCUUGGUCAUUUCCAUCACGCUCACCCGUCG
Molecule: small RNA, 200 nt
Filed under: Aquaspirillum sp. LM1
Lineage: Bacteria; Pseudomonadati; Pseudomonadota; Betaproteobacteria; Neisseriales; Aquaspirillaceae
Description: Proteobacterial sRNA psRNA2
Rfam family: Proteobacterial sRNA psRNA2
Source: Rfam by way of RNAcentral